Molecule: transfer RNA, 76 nt
Filed under: Escherichia coli
Lineage: Bacteria; Pseudomonadati; Pseudomonadota; Gammaproteobacteria; Enterobacterales; Enterobacteriaceae
Also listed under: 4 other names
Description: tRNA-Lys
Rfam family: tRNA
About the family: Transfer RNA (tRNA) molecules are approximately 80 nucleotides in length. Their secondary structure includes four short double-helical elements and three loops (D, anti-codon, and T loops).
Source: RNAcentral
GGGUCGUUAGCUCAGUUGGUAGAGCAGUUGACUUUUAAUCAACUGGUCGCAGGUUCGAAUCCUGCACGACCCACCA